AACGAACGCUGGCGGCAUGCCUAACACAUGCAAGUCGAACGAGACCUUCGGGUCUAGUGGCGCACGGGUGCGUAACGCGUGGGAACCUGCCCUUAGGUUCGGAAUAACUCCCCGAAAGGGGUGCUAAUACCGGAUAAUGUCUUCGGACCAAAGAUUUAUCGCCUUUGGAUGGGCCCGCGUUGGAUUAGCUAGUUGGUAGGGUAAAAGCCUACCAAGGCGACGAUCCAUAACUGGUCUGAGAGGAUGAUCAGCCACACUGGGACUGAGACACGGCCCAGACUCCUACAGGAGGCAGCAGUGGGGAAUAUUGGACAAUGGGCGAAAGCCUGAUCCAGCAAUGCCGCGUGAGUGAUGAAGGCCUUAGGGUUGUAAAGCUCUUUUACCCGGGAUGAUAAUGACAGUACCGGGAGAAUAAGCUCCGGCUAACUCCGUG
RNAcentral lists this ribosomal RNA (433 nucleotides) under uncultured bacterium. Its description in RNAcentral is "partial 16S ribosomal RNA". It matches the Rfam family "Bacterial small subunit ribosomal RNA", at positions 29 to 507 of the family's 1533-position model. The record is from RNAcentral.